Molecule: ribosomal RNA, 1331 nt
Filed under: metagenome
Description: bacterial LSU rRNA
Rfam family: Bacterial large subunit ribosomal RNA
Source: RNAcentral
AAAAAAGUAGCGAAGCACACAGACCAUCUGUCGAGAAAAGCCGCUAUUGUGUAUACCGUACCCGUACCGUAAACCGACACAGGUGGAUGAGGAGAGAAUCCUAAGGCCGGCGGGAGAAGCAUUGUUAAGGAACUCGGCAAAAUGACCCCGUAACUUCGGGAGAAGGGGUGCUCACGCAAGUGAGCCGCAGAGAACUGGCCCAAGCAACUGUUUAGCAAAAACACAGGUCUAUGCAAAACCGAAAGGUGAGGUAUAUGGGCUGACGCCUGCCCGGUGCUGGAAGGUUAAGAGGAGAUGUUAGAGCAAUCGAAGCAUUGAAUUUAAGCCCCAGUAAACGGCGGCCGUAACGAUAACGGUCCUAAGGUAGCGAAAUUCCUUGUCGGGUAAGUUCCGACCCGCACGAAAGGCGUAAUGAUUUGGGCACUGUCUCGACAAUGCACCCGGUGAAAUUGAAAUACCAGUGAAGAUGCUGGUUACCUGCGCCAGGACGGAAAGACCCCAUGGAGCUUUACUCUAGCUUGAUACUGGGAUUCGGUAUUGCAUGUACAGGAUAGGUGGGAGACUAAGAGGUGAUGACGCCAGUUGUCACGGAGUCGAUGUUGGGAUACCACCCCUGCAGUACUGGGUUUCUAACCUGCGGCCGUGACCCGGCCGGGGGACAAUGUCUGGUGGGGAGUUUGACUGGGGCGGUCGCCUCCGAAAGGGUAUCGGAGGCGCUCAAAGGUUCCCUCAGAAUGGUUGGAAACCAUUCGAAGAGUGCAAAGGCAGAAGGGAGCUUGACUGCGACACCGACGGGUGGAGCAGGUACGAAAGUAGGACUUAGUGAUCCGGUGGUAUGAAAGUGGGAUUGCCAUCGCUCAACGGAUAAAAGCUACCCUGGGAUAACAGGCUUAUCACUCCCAAGAGUUCACAUCGACGGAGUGGUUUGGCACCUCGAUGUCGGCUCAUCGCAUCCUGGGGCUGUAGUAGGUCCCAAGGGUUGGGCUGUUCGCCCAUUAAAGCGGUACGCGAGCUGGGUUCAGAACGUCGUGAGACAGUUCGGUCCCUAUCCGGCGUGGGCGCAGGAUAUCUGAGAGGAGCUGUCCUUAGUACGAGAGGACCGGGAUGGACUGACCUCUGGUGCAUCGGUUGAGCCACCAGGCUCGUGGCCGAGUAGCCAAGUCGGGACGGGAUAAACGCUGAAGGCAUCUAAGCGUGAAGCCCCCCUCAAGAUGAGAUAUCCCAUAGAGUUAAUCUAGUAAGACCCCUUGAAGACGACGAGGUAGAUAGGCAGAAGGUGGAAGUGUGGUGACAUAUGGAGCUGAUCUGUACUAAUAGGUCGAGGGCUUACC